GCAUUGGUGGUUCAGUGGUAGAAUUCUCAACUUCCAUGUAGGAGACCAAGGUUCGAUCCCCGACCAAUGUA
Molecule: transfer RNA, 71 nt
Filed under: Loxodonta africana (African savanna elephant)
Lineage: Eukaryota; Metazoa; Chordata; Mammalia; Proboscidea; Elephantidae
Rfam family: tRNA
About the family: Transfer RNA (tRNA) molecules are approximately 80 nucleotides in length.
Source: Rfam by way of RNAcentral